GUUGCAGCUUAGUGGUAGAGUGCUUCCCUAGCAUGUGUGAGGCCCUGGGUUCGAUCCUCAGGACCACA
This 68-nucleotide transfer RNA is filed under the name Marmota monax (woodchuck). RNAcentral describes it as "tRNA.Ala". The record is from RNAcentral. Lineage: Eukaryota; Metazoa; Chordata; Mammalia; Rodentia; Sciuridae.